RNAcentral lists this ribosomal RNA (492 nucleotides) under uncultured bacterium. Its description in RNAcentral is "partial 16S ribosomal RNA". It matches the Rfam family "Bacterial small subunit ribosomal RNA", at positions 29 to 507 of the family's 1533-position model. The record is from RNAcentral.
AGUGAACGCUGGCGGCAGGCCUAACACAUGCAAGUCGAACGGCCGCACAGUAAGUGCUUGCUCUUACGGGUGGCGAGUGGCGGACGGGUGAGGAAUGCAUCGGAAUCUACUUGUUCGUGGGUGAUAACGUCGGAAAACUUACGCUAAUACCGCAUAAGUCCUACGGGUGGAAGCAGGGGAUCUUCGGACCUUGCGCGUUUGAAUGAGCCGAUGUCGGAUUAGCUAGUUGGCGGGGUAAAGGCCUACCAAGGCGACGAUCCGUAGCUGGCCUGAGAGGAUGAUCAGCCACACUGGAACUGAGACACGGUCCAGACUCCUACGGGAGGCAGCAGUGGGGAAUCUUAGGCAAGGGGCGCAAGCCUGAUCCAGCCAUACCGCGUGAGUGAUGAAGGCCUUCGGGUUGUAAAACCCUUUUGUUGGGAAAGAAAAGAAGCAGUUUAAUCGCCGGCUGUUCUGACGGUACCCAAAGAAUAAGCCCCGGCUAACUUCGUG